Molecule: ribosomal RNA, 103 nt
Filed under: Balamuthia mandrillaris
Lineage: Eukaryota; Discosea; Longamoebia; Balamuthiidae
Description: partial small subunit ribosomal RNA
Source: RNAcentral
UCAAAACCAGGGGGUAAGCGCGGUGCGGUCGGCUUCACCCUUCGGGUUGGGGUCGGUUCGUGCCCCUUGCCUCCUGGCGGUUGGAUUGGUAGAAGANUUAAGA